Molecule: transfer RNA, 73 nt
Filed under: bacterium
Lineage: Bacteria
Description: tRNA-Arg
Rfam family: tRNA
About the family: Transfer RNA (tRNA) molecules are approximately 80 nucleotides in length. Their secondary structure includes four short double-helical elements and three loops (D, anti-codon, and T loops). Further hydrogen bonds mediate the characteristic L-shaped molecular structure. tRNAs have two regions of fundamental functional importance: the anti-codon, which is responsible for specific mRNA codon recognition, and the 3' end, to which the tRNAs corresponding amino acid is attached (by aminoacyl-tRNA synthetases). tRNAs cope with the degeneracy of the genetic code in two manners: having more than one tRNA (with a specific anti-codon) for a particular amino acid; and 'wobble' base-pairing, i.e. permitting non-standard base-pairing at the 3rd anti-codon position.
Source: RNAcentral
GCCCCCGUAGCACAAUGGACAGAGCACCAGCCUUCUAAGCUGUUGGUUGUGAGUUCGAAUCUCACCGGGGGCG